RNAcentral lists this ribosomal RNA (254 nucleotides) under uncultured bacterium. RNAcentral describes it as "partial 16S ribosomal RNA". It matches the Rfam family "Bacterial small subunit ribosomal RNA", at positions 524 to 776 of the family's 1533-position model. The record is from RNAcentral.
UACGAAGGGGGCGAGCGUUGUUCGGAAUUACUGGGCGUAAAGGGCGCGUAGGCGGUGUGUCAAGUCAGGCGUGAAAGCCCCCGGGCUCAACCUGGGAACCGCGCUUGAGACUGGCACGCUCGAGUCCGGGAGAGGAUGGUGGAAUUCCCAGUGUAGAGGUGAAAUUCGUAGAUAUUCGCAAGAACACCAGUGGCGAAGGCGGCUUACUGGUCCGGUUCUGACGCUGAGGCACGAAAGCGUGGGGAGCAAACAGG